UCGAGGAUCUUCGGCAAUGGGCGCAAGCCUGACCGAGCGACGCCGCGUGCGCGACGAAGGCCUUCGGGUUGUAAAGCGCUGUCGAGGGGGAGGAACGCCCGCAAGGGCUUGACCUAUCCCUGGAGGAAGCACGGGCUAAGUUCGUGCCAGCAGCCGCGGUAAGACGAACCGUGCGAACGUUGUUCGGAAUCACUGGGCUUAAAGGGCGCGUAGGCGGCUGUCCGAGUCCGGGGUGAAAUCUUUCGGCCUAACCGGAAAAGGGCCUUGGAUACUGGGCAGCUCGAGGGGGGUAGGGGCAAGCGGAACUUCCGGUGGAGCGGUGAAAUGCGUUGAUAUCGGAAGGAACGCCGGCGGCGAAAGCGGCUUGCUGGACCCCAUCUGACGCUGAGGCGCGAAAGCCAGGGGAGCGAACGGGAUUAGAUACCCCGGUAGUCC
This 435-nucleotide ribosomal RNA is filed under the name uncultured bacterium. RNAcentral's name for it is "bacterial SSU rRNA". It matches the Rfam family "Bacterial small subunit ribosomal RNA", at positions 355 to 796 of the family's 1533-position model. The record is from RNAcentral.